GCUCUGGUGGCCUAGUUAUUAGAGCGUCCGCCUCGGAUGGGAUGCGGGAGGUCGUGGGUUUGAACCCCGACCAAGUCA
Molecule: non-coding RNA, 78 nt
Organism: Potamilus streckersoni
Lineage: Eukaryota; Metazoa; Mollusca; Bivalvia; Unionida; Unionidae
Source: the annotation of a GenBank genome assembly